This is a long non-coding RNA of Betta splendens (Siamese fighting fish), 1380 nucleotides long. RefSeq lists it as uncharacterized. The record is from RefSeq and is a predicted model, not a curated record. Lineage: Eukaryota; Metazoa; Chordata; Actinopteri; Anabantiformes; Osphronemidae. The transcript has 6 exons.
CAAAACAUGGGGAACGGCAGUGUCAGUUAAGUUUUAGACCAUUCUAAGGCCCACAAACUUUGGAGGCCCCCCAGCUUUAUUAUUACAAACAUUAUUAGCUAACAUUAUUAGCAGUAACAUAAUAAUAAGACGUGUGUGGCUGUGUAGCAGUGUAUGCUGUAGUGCACGUGCUGCUACACAGCCACACACGUCUUAUAUUGGCGUAAUGUAACGUUACACCACGUACUAAAUUACAAAGGUUGUACUUAUACGUACAAAGAAAUAAUUAUCCAAGGGACAGGUCUCAGAGCAUGAGCUGCUGCUACCGUUUCUGCUUCCUUCCCACUGCUAAAGCUAGCUUACAACGGGAAGCGCGCUCACUCGAACUAUUCCCGAGGAUCGAAGUUCGGAGCUCUCACUGACAGUAAGGUCCAGAUGGUGGCGCCCCUCUCCUCACCCUCCUCCUGCUGACUCUGUCUGUCUUUCAGGUAGACCAACAUCCAGCAGCUUUGUAAUGCGGCCUGACUGCCUGUCCCGCCCCGAGCUCCACCCCAGCCCCCGAUAAUCCAGCAUCGUGAACGCUCAACCUCUGACACCUUCUAAAGAUUUUCUGCCCGCCUCCCGCUCGCGCUCUGCCCGUCCGCUGCCUCGCUGCGCCCCUCGAGCACCGCUGGAAUGCCGGGGCGAGAUAAAGAGGAGGCCCCGCUCCGAGCAGGCAAGUGAAAAUAACUGGGAGGCAAGGACAGUGGGGAGAAAAGCUCUGACUGAUAAACUCCUGAGUUCAACAUCUCGGCCUGACAGCUGGGCAGUGUUUGGCACUCCAUCAUGCUGCAGUUGGUGGAAAAAGAAAGACGGGAGGAGACAGACAGGGGGAAAGCUACAGAGAGAGAGAGAGACAGAGAGAAAGUGCCUCAGGGGCUCACAUUUAACCUGCCCACCAAUCCCAAUCAAUGUCAUUACUUCUUUCCACUCCAUUUUAUCAGCUCCUAGCGACUGUAGUUUCCUAGAAGUGACCGUUGUACAGCACUCUAUGAAACAGUCACAGGGCUAAUGGGAUGAGAUGCAAAGAAUUAUAAAUGCUGACAGUAAAUCAUAUUACAUCCCUAAUAAGCAUUAACUGGAUAACUGGGUCAAAGCUGUAUUAUCUUAAUUGAUUUUUCUAAAGAAACCUGACAGUGAAAUGUCAAUGCUUGAAUAUUUCUUCAUGCAUCAUUAAAACAAGAUUGGCUUUUAACAAAAGGGGAGGAGGACGGGAUCCUUUGGGCUGAAUUGAUUCUUGCUCGGGGCUGCCUUUCACAAGUAAGUGUAUUACAUAAAAAUCUAUACAGGAUAUUAAAACAACACCCAUUCUGCAAGACAGUUACAAUUAAAAGCUGACACCCACCCUUGCUUUCUGUGUGU